AAGACCUUGCGCUUUUGGAGCGGCCGAUGCCUGAUUAGCUAGUUGGUGGGGUAAUGGCCUACCAAAGCUUCGAUCAGUAGCUGGUCUGAGAGGACGGCCAGCCACACUGGGACUGAGACACGGCCCAGACUCCUACGGGAGGCAGCAGUGGGGAAUUUUGGACAAUGGGCGCAAGCCUGAUCCAGCCAUGCCGCGUGAGUGAAGAAGGCCUUCGGGUUGUAAAGCUCUUUCAGCCGGGAAGAAAAGGUUGCGAUUAAUAAUCGCAAUUUAUAACGGUACCGGAAGAAGAAGCACCGGCUAACUACGUGCCAGCAGCCGCGGUAAUACGUAGGGUGCGAGCGUUAAUCGGAAUUACUGGGCGUAAAGGGUGCGCAGGCGGUUUUGUAAGUCAGAUGUGAAAUCCCCGGGCUUAACCUGGGAACU
This 423-nucleotide ribosomal RNA is filed under the name uncultured bacterium. Its description in RNAcentral is "bacterial SSU rRNA". It matches the Rfam family "Bacterial small subunit ribosomal RNA", at positions 207 to 622 of the family's 1533-position model. The record is from RNAcentral.